CAGCCGCCGCGGUAAUACGUAGGGGGCGAGCGUUGUCCGGAAUUACUGGGCGUAAAGGGCGUGUAGGCGGCCUAAUAAGUCAGGUGUGAAAUUCCAAGGCUUAACCUUGGCGCUGCACUUGAAACUGUUGGGCUUGAGGUCAGGAGAGGGAAGCGGAAUUCCCAGUGUAGCGGUGAAAUGCGUAGAUAUUGGGAGGAACACCAGUGGCGAAGGCGGCUUCCUGGACUGCACCUGACGCUGAGGCGCGAAAGCUAGGGUAGCGAACGGGAUUAGAUACCCCGGUAGUCCUAGCCGUAAACGAUGGGUACUAGGUGUGGGAGGUAUCGACCCCUUCCGUGCCGCAGUUAACGCAAUAAGUACCCCGCCUGGGGAGUACGGCCGCAAGGCUGAAACUCAAAGGAAUUGACGGGGGCCCGCACAAGCGGUGGAGCAUGUGGUUUAAUUCGAUGCAACGCGAAGAACCUUACCAGGUCUUGACAUCCCUCUGACCGGUAUAGAGAUAUACCUUUCCUUCGGGACAGAGGAGACAGGUGGUGCAUGGCC
This 543-nucleotide ribosomal RNA is filed under the name uncultured archaeon. Its description in RNAcentral is "bacterial SSU rRNA". It matches the Rfam family "Bacterial small subunit ribosomal RNA", at positions 509 to 1050 of the family's 1533-position model. The record is from RNAcentral.